RNAcentral lists this ribosomal RNA (253 nucleotides) under uncultured bacterium. RNAcentral describes it as "partial 16S ribosomal RNA". It matches the Rfam family "Bacterial small subunit ribosomal RNA", at positions 524 to 776 of the family's 1533-position model. The record is from RNAcentral.
UACGAAGGGGGCUAGCGUUGCUCGGAAUCACUGGGCGUAAAGGGUGCGUAGGCGGUUUGGUAAGUCUCUUGUGAAAUCUAUGGGCUCAACUCAUAGUCUGCAAGGGAAACUGCCGGGCUUGAGUGUGGGAGAGGUGAGUGGAAUUCCUGGUGUAGCGGUGAAAUGCGUAGAUAUCAGGAGGAACACCUGUGGCGAAAGCGGCUCACUGGACCACAACUGACGCUGAUGCACGAAAGCGUGGGGAGCGAACAGG